UAACACUAGCUCCAUCCUUAGAGCAUGAGACUCUUAAUCUCAGGGUUGUGGGUUUGAGCCCCACGUUGGGGCAAAA
Podarcis lilfordi (Lilford's wall lizard) is the source of this 76-nucleotide non-coding RNA. Lineage: Eukaryota; Metazoa; Chordata; Lepidosauria; Squamata; Lacertidae. The record is from the annotation of a GenBank genome assembly.